This 1372-nucleotide ribosomal RNA is filed under the name uncultured bacterium. RNAcentral's name for it is "bacterial SSU rRNA". It matches the Rfam family "Bacterial small subunit ribosomal RNA", at positions 28 to 1381 of the family's 1533-position model. The record is from RNAcentral.
GAUGAACGCUGGCGGCGUGCCUAAUACAUGCAAGUCGAGCGAACGGACGAGAAGCUUGCUUCUCUGAUGUUAGCGGCGGACGGGUGAGUAACACGUGGAUAACCUACCUAUAAGACUGGGAUAACUUCGGGAAACCGGAGCUAAUACCGGAUAAUAUUUUGAACCGCAUGGUUCAAAAGUGAAAGACGGUCUUGCUGUCACUUAUAGAUGGAUCCGCGCUGCAUUAGCUAGUUGGUAAGGUAACGGCUUACCAAGGCAACGAUGCAUAGCCGACCUGAGAGGGUGAUCGGCCACACUGGAACUGAGACACGGUCCAGACUCCUACGGGAGGCAGCAGUAGGGAAUCUUCCGCAAUGGGCGAAAGCCUGACGGAGCAACGCCGCGUGAGUGAUGAAGGUCUUCGGAUCGUAAAACUCUGUUAUUAGGGAAGAACAUAUGUGUAGGUAACUGUGCACAUCUUGACGGUACCUAAUCAGAAAGCCACGGCUAACUACGUGCCAGCAGCCGCGGUAAUACGUAGGUGGCAAGCGUUAUCCGGAAUUAUUGGGCGUAAAGCGCGCGUAGGCGGUUUUUUAAGUCUGAUGUGAAAGCCCACGGCUCAACCGUGGAGGGUCAUUGGAAACUGGAAAACUUGAGUGCAGAAGAGGAAAGUGGAAUUCCAUGUGUAGCGGUGAAAUGCGCAGAGAUAUGGAGGAACACCAGUGGCGAAGGCGACUUUCUGGUCUGUAACUGACGCUGAUGUGCGAAAGCGUGGGGAUCAAACAGGAUUAGAUACCCUGGUAGUCCACGCCGUAAACGAUGAGUGCUAAGUGUUAGGGGGUUUCCGCCCCUUAGUGCUGCAGCUAACGCAUUAAGCACUCCGCCUGGGGAGUACGACCGCAAGGUUGAAACUCAAAGGAAUUGACGGGGACCCGCACAAGCGGUGGAGCAUGUGGUUUAAUUCGAAGCAACGCGAAGAACCUUACCAAAUCUUGACAUCCUUUGACAACUCUAGAGAUAGAGCCUUCCCCUUCGGGGGACAAAGUGACAGGUGGUGCAUGGUUGUCGUCAGCUCGUGUCGUGAGAUGUUGGGUUAAGUCCCGCAACGAGCGCAACCCUUAAGCUUAGUUGCCAUCAUUAAGUUGGGCACUCUAAGUUGACUGCCGGUGACAAACCGGAGGAAGGUGGGGAUGACGUCAAAUCAUCAUGCCCCUUAUGAUUUGGGCUACACACGUGCUACAAUGGACAAUACAAAGGGCAGCGAAACCGCGAGGUCAAGCAAAUCCCAUAAAGUUGUUCUCAGUUCGGAUUGUAGUCUGCAACUCGACUACAUGAAGCUGGAAUCGCUAGUAAUCGUAGAUCAGCAUGCUACGGUGAAUACGUUCCCGGGUCU